RNAcentral lists this ribosomal RNA (292 nucleotides) under uncultured bacterium. RNAcentral's name for it is "partial 16S ribosomal RNA". It matches the Rfam family "Bacterial small subunit ribosomal RNA", at positions 505 to 796 of the family's 1533-position model. The record is from RNAcentral.
GUGCCAGCAGCCGCGGUAAAACGUAGGGGGCAAGCGUUGCCCGGAUUCACUGGGCGUAAAGCGGGUGUAGGCGGUCCUCUAAGUCGGAUGUGAAAUCCUACGGCUCAACCGUGGAACUGCAUCCGAUACUGGAGGACUUGAGGACGGUAGAGGUCGGUGGAAUUCCCGGUGUACCGGUGAAAUGGGCAGAUAUCGGGAGGAACACCAGUGGCGAAGGCGGCCGACUGGGCCGAUCCUGACGCUGAGACCCGAAAGCCAGGGUAGCGAACCGGAUUAGAUACCCCUGUAGUCC